RNAcentral lists this long non-coding RNA (6058 nucleotides) under Marmota monax (woodchuck). Lineage: Eukaryota; Metazoa; Chordata; Mammalia; Rodentia; Sciuridae. The record is from RNAcentral.
GUGCCCUUCAGUUCUGGAAGAAAAAGCCUGAUUACUGCUGAAUCACAGAGGCCAGGUGGAGUCCUGAGAGGACUAACUCUCAAAAGACCCCAGCAGACUGGUGCUCUCAUCAACGACCUUGGGAGCCAAUUACAGACCAGAGUUCCCAAGGCCCCAGGUCUCCAGGGGCCUGAUUUCAAGAAGGGCCCGUUUGUGGUGGUGGCCUGUGUGCCCUGCCGGGCUGCGCUGACGCGUCUUCAAGGUCGAGGUGUCCGAGCAGGCUGUCACCACCGACUUCACUAGACCUGCGCUUGGCGGGCCUCUCAUUUCUUUUUUAAACAAACAGCACAGAUGCGGACCUUAGCUUGGCUCGUGCCAUAACUGCUCAUUCUGAACGUAGAGGAGUCGGUCUGGAGAAAGCAAACACAGUGCUCGACGGUGGCCCUGCAAAGCCCUGCCUUGUUUGACGUCACCCUUCCCUGGCUCCUGUCAACCCCAGGACCAUUCCCAGGCUCAGAGGAGAGGCAGGGCCUCCCUGACAUCUGAACUGGAUAGUCCCCAGCUAGGGAGUGAGGCCUGGGUAAUGGGGUGGGGUCCCACAGGACUGUGGGAUCCUGCGCGAUCCACAGCCCUCAGACCAAGGCAGGCAGGCAGGCAGUGCCCGGUGCCCCGCAGGCUGUCCUUGGUGUCUGUGGGCCUCUGAGUUUCUGGUCCUGCAGCAUUGGCCCUCUGGAUUCCAGCUGGCCUCCCGUCCUCCCCAGCGUGGAGGUGGGCAGUGUGUUGCUCCCUUUCCUGCUACAGCUGCACGCCGUCCCUCUUUUAUGCCUUCAGGUCAGGAACUACGGGUUCAGUAGAGCAGUGCUCCAUCCUACCCACUAAGGCGGAAGACGCUGACCUGAGCCCAGUGCGGUGGCACACGCCUCAACGCCAGCUGCCGAAGCAGGAGGACCGCAGCUUAAGGCCAGCCUUGGCAACUUAGCCUCAUCUUGUCUUGAAAUAAAAUGGUGGGCUGGGGACGCAGCUCCGGGGUAAAGUAUCCUUGGGUUCCAUCUCUAGUACUGCAACAAAACAAAGAAAAACUGACAUGUGUUUCUCUUUACAUAUUGCAGGGAUUUUUACUUAAUUCUAAAAUUAAAAAAUUAAAGAACUUAAAAUAAUCUUGAGGAAAUAGCCAGCACCCAGCCCUCCACCCACUGUCCACCCUCCUGCAGUAUUGGUCUCUGUAGGAGCUGGCCAGGUCCUGGGAUGCCAGAUGGGCUUGUGCACUGCAGGGCCCUGUUUGGCUACCUCCCAGGGAGCCUGGGGGUCCAGCAGUUCAGAUAGAGCCUCCAGUUUUGAUCCCAUUUGAGACCAAACCUCCACCAGAGCUGGCUGUGUGCAGCCCCACCCUGCCUCCCGUAAGCCCUUCCAGAGCCAGGUACAGGCCUGACUCCUCCACUCCCAGCCCCCCACUGUCCUGGUCCCUGCUCUUGGGCACUGUCACAGAGUUGCUGCCAGUGUGCCUUUCUUCUCGGGAUUUCAAGACUUGGUGACCCCAUUCUGAAGGACCCUUGAAGCUCAGGAGAUGGGUGUCCCUUCCCUCUUGAUCAAGAGCCUACCAACUGGUCCAGACCCCACUGGGCUGGCGUCUCGUUGGGAGGUAUCCAGACUGGGUCCCAAGCUAGCAGCGUGCUCCUGCAGGGGCGCACCUAACUGAAUGAGCACCUGCCCCUGGAAGGGAUCGUCACCAGCCACAAGGAUACUUACAGUGGAUAAAGUGAAAUUUAACUAGAGAUUGGUCCUGAGGCUUCCUUCCCAUGAACAAUUGUUACGUUUUCUAAACCAUCUAGUUAUUACUUAACAGGGAUACAGGAAGAGAGUGGUUUAUUCAGGCCCAGAUUUAAGUAAAGUCUCUGUUAACAUUGGUUUUAUGUUGUAUUCAAUAGGCAUCAGGAGGCUUGUAGCAGAAAAUCCAUAGAAUGAUUUAAUCUCCCACAAAUUGAGAAUUUAAAUAAGUGACAGAAGUUUUAUACUUUUGAAUAUACACCUGUGUAGCUUUUCUGCUUGGUUGCAAACAACAGCAAGGUGAUUUCUGACUUGAAACAUUGGACUUAUUCCCUCAUAGUUCAUCAGCCCCCGUCUUUUCAUGCAAAAUAGCAAAGGGGGUGCUUCUAAAAAGUGGUGUCAGUAAGAAAUUUUCAUUUCAUUUUAUUCAUUCAUUCAUUGAGCCCAGGUUCUCAUGCAUGAGAGUUAAAUGCUCUACCACUGAGCUCCAGGCCCAGCCCUAUAUAUCUGGAAUAUCACCAUUGUGGGGUGCCGCGCUGAAAGACCCCGCCUUCCAGCCCUAAGCACAAGGCUCUGACCAGUUACUACAUUUCGUAGUGACUUGGGGCAUUGUCCCCACUCGGACGACAGCAAGGCAUGUCUUCAGGUGUAGGCAUCACUGCGGGGGGGGGGGGGUGCUGAGCUACACUUCUCUGUUCCUUUGUAACCCUACUUCUUUUCUCAUUUGAAUGACUUCUUCCCAGUAAAAGGGUUCAGCAUGUGCACCUCUCUCUUUCCACAGACCCCUAAGGUCAGAGCAGCCGUUGUCACAGGACCCAAAGAAAAAGGUAUUUCUCUGUCUCUGUGCCAUUAUUUUGUGCCAGCCCAGUUCACCUAGAGUGCCCUGAGUGUUUAGUCGUGGGACGCGACACACCGUGUUGCCCAGAUUGGUCUCAAACUCUGGGGUACAAGUGAUCUUCUUGCCUCAGUCUCCUGAGUAGCUAGACCUACCACCCAGCUCUAAUUUUCAUUUUCUUUUUCAGGGUGGUGCCAAAGGUCAAUUAUAGAGUUUUACAACCAGGUGGUGCAACGUAAGUAGUUGCAGAGGUUUGGGGAGGACACAUGCAGUGACCACCCUCUCCAAUCGGGAAUCAGCUGCUGUGAGUGGGUGGACAGGUUGUGGACUGCGCGAUUCCAUUCCUCCAUGCCCAUCAGAGUCCACACCUGGAUGGGCACAUGGAUCGCCCUGUGGGAACUUUCUCGGUUUCCCUUCACUUCAGUGCUCCCAGCUGACCAGGGCAAGCAGACCCUGCAGGCGGAGAUCCUCCUGCCUGGGAUCUGAUGUUCCUGCUCCGCUCUGUACUCUUCACUUGACCCCUGGGACUCCUUCCACCUGCCCUCCUGCCGUACCCCGGCCUAGGGCCUUUGCACAGCUGUGCCUUCAGCCUGGAACACGGCUACCACUGGGCAGCUCCUGCUUCUGUCUGGUCUCUGCCCCAAGGUCGUUGUCUUGGUGAGCUCACCCUCACCUGCCUGAGGAAAAGGGCUGCUCCACCCCCAGCACACAUCCCCCUUUUAUCUUAUCUUGGGGAUCUAACCCAGGGGUGUUUGUUCUUUUUAACCACUGAGCUACAUCUGCAGUCCUUCGUUACUUUGUUUUGUUUUUUUGAGACAGGGUCUUACUAAGUUGCUGAGGCUGGCCUCAAACUUGCCGUCCUGCCGCCUCAGCUUCCCAAGUGGCUGGGAUUACUGGCAUGUGCCACUGCAGCAGGCAGCACUCAGCCAUCUUCUAAGUGCACUGUUCAGCAUUAAGUCAUUCACACUGUUGUGUGGCUGUCACCUCCAGCCAGCUCCCCAGCUAAAGCUCUGUCCCUAAGCCCUGGCCCUCCAGCCCCUCCCCAGCUGAAGAUGUGUCCCUAAGCCCUGGGCCUCCGGCCCCUCCCCAGCCCUGGCUCCCACCUUCUGCUUCUCGUCUCCAUGCCUUGGCUCCUCCAGGGACCUGGCAGCCUCUGUCUGGCUCAUUUCACUCUGUGACCCUCGAGGUCCUCCAUGUCAGGAUCCCCUUCCUCCCCAGGGCUGAGUGACCCCACUGUGGUCCUGCCCAGCGUCUUUUUCCUGAUGCCCCUUUGCCUUGCCUGCCAGCAGGCCACUCCACUUCCUGUUUUGCUCCACCCGCCUUUGUGGGUCUGUUCAUCAGAGUACCAGGCCUGUCCCCAACGUGGCCUCAAUGACUCGAGUGAGGGAGGAGUGCUUUAGGCCCUUUGUAUGGCCAGACUUCCUUCCCUAAGGUUGUGCCCACGUUCCUUUGCCAGGCUGAGGACAGCACUGGGGGAUGCCUCCCAGGGCAUGCAUGGUGCUGGGGGGUCUCCUUCCUCCUCCUGGUCCUCAUGCAUGUGGUGGACAAGCAGCAGCUCGCUUUGGACUCGCGUGUCCUUGAGGACAGGUGUCAGGCAGCCUCCCAAGCAGUGAAGCUUUGCAAAGGCGCCUCAAGCCGCGGCGGCAGUCGGCAGCCUGGGAGAGCUGUGGAGCAGGAGUCUUUCCAGCGUUUCCCCAGCUGCUGGUUCCCCCUCCAGCAGACAUGGCUCCUAGAAGACUGAGAACCUUCUGGAAUCCCAGCUGCAUUGGACUGUGACAGAGAAUGGGGGAAGGGACUCAAAAUGGUUGUCCAGACUAUGUGGAGGAAGCGUGUCCACACUCCAUCUGUGGCCCACUUUGCAAUAAUGGACCCUUGGGGAGGCCCUGGGGCAGACUGGAUGGUCAGGGGACACCUAACCUGUGGUGGGGUCACCAGGAGGGGUGAAAGCCAGCUCUGCCAUCAGCAGUGGACACAAUAGUGCCACCUCUACGUGUGGUCCCUUCCUACAGAGACGUUGUCCAUGUCGUCUUGGUGGCCAGGGUCUUUGGGGAGAGGGGAAUGAGUGCCACCCAGACUGAGGUCGGGGUGACUCUCCCCCCAGGACGUGAACCAAGAGGUGAGGCACUCCCAACCUAGGGAUAGUCCUCCCUACCGGGACCAGGGCCUACCCACCACCCCAGCUCAGAGGGAGGGCAACAUCUGCCUGCUGUGUGGUCACCCCAGGCUGGACCUGAGGAGACCCCUGGCCUUCCCUGGGGAUAUUAGUCCUCAGCCACCUCCCUCGCUUGGGGUUGCAUCAGGAAGGACGUCCGGGGCUGGUGGGCAGGCUGCCAGCAGAGCUUGGAACCAGCUCCUGAGUUAGGCUGGCUCCCAGCUUCUUGCAGCCGAGGGCAUGUCCUGAGUUCAGGUGGAAGUGCUGGCGGCACCUGUGUCAAGUCUGGAAGUGGGUCCGGGAAGCACAGGAAGCCAGACCUGAGCUCUGCUGGCCCCGCAGGUCCCUGACCCAGAGCUGCCCCUGGGGCCACCUGCAGGAGGGCAGCCGUGGCAAGCUGCACCAAGCCGGGGGCUCUCCUUCAGACUCAUGGCAGAGACCCCCGGGGGCUGGCAUCUGGGUCAGCCAGUGGGAUCCUGAGUGACACCUGUGACUUCAGGAAGUGUCCACAGAGAAGGGGGCUCCUGUCCUUGAUCCCGUCCUGUGUGGUGGAGGCCCUGCAGCUGGUCUCAACGCCCCCACCCCCCCAUCACUGGUAGGAUCGCUGUUGGAGGGAGAGAUGGCCAGGUAGAGAGGUGUCAGGUUUCUGCUGUGGUGGAGCUGCCUGUCGGCCUUGUCCUGCAGGCCUCUGGACUGUGACCAGAGAAAUGCACUUCUCUAACAAAGGAAGUCCUUGCCCUCGGGGCCUUCUGUCACUUGCAGAGGAACCAAACAGUGUCCAGGCCACGAUGCUCUUGCACACUGAAGGCUCUGAGAGGUCCUGCAAAUAGGAGCCAAGGAUGUUUCACCCAACUGGCAGAAGGAGUCGGCUAGACGGCCCACUGCACCGCUCUUUACUGCCUAGGGGUCCCUUUGUUCAGAGGAGCAGUGUUGGGGGCAACAGCUUCACACAGAAGGAAAUUGCUGCUCUUACCAAUUAUCACAUCUCAAAGCACAAUUUCUAGAGAACUUAGUUCAUAAUGGUUGGUUGGAGAUUUUCUGGCUUCCUAAACAUAUUAAAUUGUCAGAAAUAGAUACUGUGAAAUCUCACACCCAGUAGCUUUUUAGACAAUCUACCUCAAAUAGGAAUGCUCCCUGCAGAGGUAAACUCUAGUCCAGUCGCAGGAUGACUGUCCAUGUGGUGCGUGGAGCCUGAGAUGCUCGAACCCAUGAGGAGGGGCAAGCAGGCAGAAACAGACGGCAUGGCACUGCCAACUGAGGAACUGUCACAGGGCGCUCCUGCUGUCCCUGUGGACGUGGGAACUGGGGCAGCUUGCCUAAGAACCCCC